This 75-nucleotide transfer RNA is filed under the name Candidatus Diapherotrites archaeon CG08_land_8_20_14_0_20_30_16. Its description in RNAcentral is "tRNA-Met". It matches the Rfam family "tRNA". Rfam says of the family: Transfer RNA (tRNA) molecules are approximately 80 nucleotides in length. Their secondary structure includes four short double-helical elements and three loops (D, anti-codon, and T loops). Lineage: Archaea; Nanobdellati; Candidatus Iainarchaeota. The record is from RNAcentral.
GCCAAGGUAGCUCAGUUGGUUUAGAGCGCCAGACUCAUAAUCUGGAGGUCGCGGGUUCAAGUCCCGCCUUUGGCA